UACGUAGGGGGCAAGCGUUGUCCGGAUUUAUUGGGCGUAAAGAGCGUGUAGGCGGCCAGGUAGGUCAGCUGUGAAAACUCGAGGCUCAACCUCGAGACGUCGGUUGAAACCACCUGGCUAGAGUCCGGAAGAGGAGAGUGGAAUUCCUGGUGUAGCGGUGAAAUGCGCAGAUAUCGGGAAGAACACCCGUGGCGAAGGCGGCUCUCUGGGACGGUACUGACGCUGAGACGCGAAAGCGUGGGGAGCGAACAGG
This 253-nucleotide ribosomal RNA is filed under the name uncultured bacterium. Its description in RNAcentral is "partial 16S ribosomal RNA". It matches the Rfam family "Bacterial small subunit ribosomal RNA", at positions 524 to 776 of the family's 1533-position model. The record is from RNAcentral.